GAUGAACGCUGGCGGCAUGCCUAAGACAUGCAAGUCGUACGAAGCGGCCCAAUGAAGAUGGAGUGCUUGCACAAUAUUGGAUUUGGAUUUCCGCUUAGUGGCAAACGGGUGAGUAACACGUGGGUUACCUACCUCUAAGUUGGGGAUAACAAUUGGAAACGAUUGAUAAUACCGAAUGUGCUCUACGGAGUAAAGAGCCCUUAAGNUUCGCUUAGAGAUGGGCCUGCGGCGCAUUAGCAGUUGGUGAGUAACGGCUCACCAAAGGCGACGAUAGCGUAGCCGAACUGAGAGGUUGAUCGGCCG
Molecule: ribosomal RNA, 303 nt
Filed under: uncultured bacterium
Lineage: Bacteria
Description: bacterial SSU rRNA
Rfam family: Bacterial small subunit ribosomal RNA
Source: RNAcentral